RNAcentral lists this ribosomal RNA (1034 nucleotides) under Chalara sp. OC0019. RNAcentral describes it as "SSU rRNA". It matches the Rfam family "Eukaryotic small subunit ribosomal RNA", at positions 75 to 1117 of the family's 1831-position model. Lineage: Eukaryota; Fungi; Ascomycota; Leotiomycetes; Helotiales. The record is from RNAcentral.
UAUACCGUGAAACUGCGAAUGGCUCAUUAAAUCAGUUAUCGUUUAUUUGAUAGUACCUUACUACUUGGAUAACCGUGGUAAUUCUAGAGCUAAUACAUGCUGAAAACCCCGACUUCGGGAGGGGUGUAUUUAUUAGAUAAAAAACCAACGCCCUUCGGGGCUUCUUGGUGAUUCAUGAUAACUUCACGGAUCGCAUGGCCUUGCGCCGGCGACGGUUCAUUCAAAUUUCUGCCCUAUCAACUUUCGAUGGUAAGGUAUUGGCUUACCAUGGUUUCAACGGGUAACGGGGAAUUAGGGUUCGAUUCCGGAGAGGGAGCCUGAGAAACGGCUACCACAUCCAAGGAAGGCAGCAGGCGCGCAAAUUACCCAAUCCCGACACGGGGAGGUAGUGACAAUAAAUACUGAUACAGGGCUCUUUUGGGUCUUGUAAUUGGAAUGAGUACAAUUUAAACCUCUUAACGAGGAACAAUUGGAGGGCAAGUCUGGUGCCAGCAGCCGCGGUAAUUCCAGCUCCAAUAGCGUAUAUUAAAGUUGUUGCAGUUAAAAAGCUCGUAGUUGAAACUUGGGCCUGGCUGGCAGGUCCGCCUCACCGCGUGUACUUGUCCGGCCGGGCCUUUCCUUCUGGAGAACCUCAUGCCCUUCACUGGGUGUGUUGGGGAACCAGGACUUUUACUUUGAAAAAAUUAGAGUGUUCAAAGCAGGCCUUUGCUCGAAUACGUUAGCAUGGAAUAAUAGAAUAGGACGUGCGGUCCUAUUUUGUUGGUUUCUAGGACCGCCGUAAUGAUUAAUAGGGACAGUCGGGGGCAUCAGUAUUCAAUUGUCAGAGGUGAAAUUCUUGGAUUUAUUGAAGACUAACUACUGCGAAAGCAUUUGCCAAGGAUGUUUUCAUUAAUCAGUGAACGAAAGUUAGGGGAUCGAAGACGAUCAGAUACCGUCGUAGUCUUAACCGUAAACUAUGCCGACUAGGGAUCGGGCGAUGUUCUUUUUCUGACUCGCUCGGCACCUUACGAGAAAUCAAAGUUUUUGGGUUCUGG